GAUGAAGAACGCAGCAAAAUGCGAUAAGUAAUGUGAAUUGCAGAAUUCAGUGAAUCAUCGAAUCUUUGAACGCACAUUGCGCCCGCCAGUAUUCUGGCGGGCAUGCCUGUUCGAGCGUCAUUUCAACCCUCAAGCACAGCUUGGUGUUGGGACUCGCGUUAAUUCGCGUUCCCCAAAUUGAUUGGCGGUCACGUCGAGCUUCCAUAGCGUAGUAGUAAAACCCUCGUUACUGGUAAUCGUCGCGGCCACGCCGUUAAGCCCCAACUUCUGAAUGUUGACCUCGGAUCAGGUAGGAAUACCCGCUGAACUUAAGCAUAUCAAUAAGCGGAGGA
Molecule: unclassified non-coding RNA, 332 nt
Filed under: soil metagenome
Description: partial contains 5.8S ribosomal RNA, internal transcribed spacer 2, and large subunit ribosomal RNA
Rfam family: 5.8S ribosomal RNA (bases 1-120)
Source: RNAcentral